CCUGGGCCAGGCAAUAGGGAUGGCUGCCAUGGAGUGCCCUUUGAAUCCACAGCUGCUUAAUGGUGUCUUUGCUUUUUAUAUGUUGUGUUGUAUCCAUAUGUUAAAACUCUUGCAGUAUCUGCAUUUGUUUGUAGUGAAGGUUUACUAUGUCAUCAGGCCACAUCCGCCAUCUUUACGUGGAAGGGUUAACCUUUCUAUGGUGAAUUUAGGAUGAUAAUUUUUAUGCUUAAAGAAAAUAUCAACUGAAUAUAAAUAUCUGCUGCAAGUUCUAAUAAACAAAAACUCUUCAACAUAACAGAUGAAUUCAUGUUUCAUUUCAUUGAUGAAGUUGAGCAUUUUCCAUGUCUUCAAGUACUCCUUGUUUUAAAUUCUACUAAAGCAUGAUGUGUAGGAUAAUUCAAAUAAAUGAUGUAGCCUGCUUUAAACAAAAAAUAAAAAUUUGCAAUGUUGAUUAGUAAAUAUAGUUUGCAUAUAUACAAUCUGUAAGCUUUAAAUAUAAUUAUAUCCAUGUAAAAUAAUCUUUACAAACAUUUCUCAGAUAUAAAAAUGUUUAAUGUAAAAGCUUUUAGCCAAAAAAUUGGUAAAACUUAACAUAUACUAAAUUGUAACAUCAUAUUUGAUUUAAUCAAAAGCCUGAUAAUAUUCAAAUGAUACAUUAUAUAAAGGAUUUGAAAGGGCCAGGCCUAGACUUUGCAUGGGUAAUAAAUAUAAAGAAAAAUCAUUAUUAAAUCAA
Long non-coding RNA from Centruroides sculpturatus (bark scorpion), 733 nucleotides. RefSeq lists it as uncharacterized. Lineage: Eukaryota; Metazoa; Arthropoda; Arachnida; Scorpiones; Buthidae. The record is from RefSeq and is a predicted model, not a curated record. The transcript has 3 exons.